This is a long non-coding RNA of Leucoraja erinaceus (little skate), 2957 nucleotides long. RefSeq lists it as uncharacterized. The record is from RefSeq and is a predicted model, not a curated record. NCBI's taxonomy places the organism in Eukaryota, Metazoa, Chordata, Chondrichthyes, Rajiformes, Rajidae. The transcript is spliced from 3 exons.
AAUAAAACACUCUUGACUCUUGACUUACUCCGCUAAUGUGUGGGAGAGAACUAGUGUACGAGUGGUCGGUGGGCUGACGGGCCUGUUUCCACGUUGUAUCUUUAAAUUAAACUAAAGACGCUAAAACCAGAGGGAGUCUAAAGAAGGGUCUCUACCCGAAACGUCACCCAAUUUCUUCUAUCCUGAGUUGCUGGCUGCUCCAUGGAGUUCCCCCGCACAAUUAAAGCAUGGAAUAGUCUUCACCCUACCAUAGUUACCCAACCAGACGCAACUAAAUUUAAGAUACUUCUUUUUUCCCCAAGAACUGUUUUUUGCUUAAGUCCAAGUCAAGAGUCAAGAGAGCUUGUGUUCAAAGAUCUUAUAGCAGAUCUUUGCUUGUGUUCAAGAAGGAACUGCAGAUGCUGGAAGAUCGAAGGUACACAAAAUUGCUGGAGAAACUCAGCGGGUGCAGCAGCAUCUAUGGAGCGAAGGAAGUCAAGAGAGCUUUAUUGUCGUGUGUCCCAGAUAGGACAAUUAAAUUCUUGCUUGCUGCAGCAUUACAGAAUAUGUGAACAUAAUACAAAACAGGAGAUAAAAGUUCAAUUUUUUUAUAUACCAUAGACCAUAUAUAUAUACACAAUAAAUAAACAGAUAAAAUGCAAUGGGCUGUUAUUGUUCAACCCUCUACCACCUCCAGUUUAAAUUCAAUUUAGAAUAUUUAUGGAGGAACAGGAAACCAGAAGCAAGAGUUACUCCUGAUCCAGGGUCAGGGAGUGAUUCUGCGUUGGUUUUCAGCACUGGCGGCGAGGCAGCGACCGGACAGCAAUGGCGGCCAAAUGUCCCACAAUUCAAAGCGAGGGAGAAAGUGCCCAGCGCCGACCAGUUGCCGUGGCAGUGCGCAUGCGCAGGGCGGCCGAUGAUGUGCGGGCCGUGGUUGUGCGCGUGUGCAGAGGGAGGACGUGCAGGCCGCAGCAAUGCGCAUGUGCAAGGCGGCCUGCCGUGCCGGCGGAUGAGGAGAGAACGGAGACCCGACGCCCCGGACACGGAUAGCGGGGGGAGACUGAGAGAGAGAGAGAUAGAGAGGGGUCCACCCAGAAUUGAACGGCAGGUAUCUUGCCUUGGCCGGAGGCCCCCCUAGAUUUCGAGGCCCUAGACUUCUGCCUAUGAAGCCUAGUGGUAAAUCCGGCUCUGCGAGGCCCCCCUAGAUCUCGAGGCCCUAAACUGAAGCUUUUGUCCAGUUUAUACGUAAAUCCGGUCCUGGCUGUCCACUUUGCAACCCCUUUCAUUCUGGUGCAUUGGAUGUGCCAUACUAUGCCACGAUGCAAAUUACAGUACAUCUAGAGAAGUUUGCUAGAGUAUUUGCUGGUGUACUGAAUCUCUAAACCUAAGAAAGUGGGGGAGCUAGUGUGCCUUUGUGAUUACAUUGUGUAGGCCCCAAAACAGGCCAUUCAAGAUGUUACAUUGUGGAAUUUGAAGCUGCAAAUGAAAACUGGUGCACGAUAUCCAGACUUGAUGAUUAUGUGAAACAAACAACCGAGGCUAUAUUCCUAAAUUAAGCUAGUUUAGGCAAAGGUUUUUUGUUUGGAAAAUCUUCACGCUUGCCGCACAUGUUGACAUUGCUUGGAAUUGUAUUUUAAAUGCAUCCAUUAAUUAAAAUUACAAAAAGAGUUAUCAACAUGAGUACUGCAAAUGAACACUGAAAACAAAAACUGAUAAAAAUCAGCAAACAUCAGUGUUGAUACCAUUAAUUACACAUUUAUGGAUGCAAGUAUAUCUCGAUGGGAUGCAAGAUGGCAACAGUUUGAUUUAAGAAGAAAUAAACGUGUCUCAAUGUAAAAGCUUGUGUGAAAAUAAAACUAGAUCCCUUAAUUAGCAUUACCACAGUUAUACAAAUUGAAGUGAAAUGUCACUGCAAGGAUGACUCAAAUUAGUGGACGGUUUUCAGAAUUUUUGGAAACAUCACCACACAACUUCAAAACCCAUUAACCAAUCAUAUUGUCUGUACUGCCAAUUACCCCAAUUUAAAGCAAAGAUCUUAGAUCUUUGAUUUAAAGUGCACAUUUGCCCCCACGUGAUCAAUAUCCCUCCAUUCCCCGCCUCACGUGACUGCUCCCACUAAUUCCUCCAGCACUGCCUGCCGACACCUUGCUCCAAACUAUUGCUUAAUGUUGGCAAAUGGUGUAUGUAUCUCCGAGGAGUCCAACUACAGCAAAAUUAGAUUUGGUACACACGUGGACAUAAUUUGAACAUGUAAUAUAAAGCAAACAUUUGAAUUGUUUUUCAUUGGGUUUGCAGAAAACAUUAGCAAUAUUGGCACUGUCGCAUGUUGGAGUAAAAUUAGUAGAUUCACAACACUGAGGUUAACUGCUAGUUUAAAUUCUAAAUAGACUUUCUUUAAGUCUCUGAUGAUCGUUCCCAGAAUUCUGCGCCGGAAGAGUAAUCUUCCCACUAUCUCCCCUAUAGCUCCGGUAUAGAAUCUUUGUUGUCGAGUGCUCUAAGAGAGUGUUGCAUGUUUCAAAGGUUCCCCUCGUUGUAGAGACCAGAGACAGAGCCCUCAGUUUCUCCCGAUACUCCAAACCUGACAUCUUGGAAUUCAGACUGGUGAAUUCAUUGCUAUUUUCGCACUGCAACAAAUAUAUGGCACCAUUGGAAAAGAGCCUGAAAACGUACUAAGAUUAUAACGGCUGUACCCAACGGGUUCAGUGAUUUGUGUGCAAGGAUAUCCUUUGAAGGGUGCCAUGGUUUCCAGACCAGCAAUCACAAUGGUAGACACCAUUAAUGUGCUGCCAUUCUUUGGUGAGAAACUUAAUGCCAUUAUUGAAGGCUUCAAGGAAAAUGAAAUAUGGCUGAAAGAAAUCCUGGAGGAAGCUAAGAUGUUGUUUAACAGUGGCUUUAAUGCAGAACCCGAAUUGAUGCCAAAGACGCCUUCAGAGAGAAAAAGGCGUAGGAUAUGUUCAUCGUUGGUCCAGGAUUCUAAU